RNAcentral lists this unclassified non-coding RNA (301 nucleotides) under Hevea brasiliensis (rubber tree). The record is from RNAcentral. Lineage: Eukaryota; Viridiplantae; Streptophyta; Magnoliopsida; Malpighiales; Euphorbiaceae.
AUAAGUAGAUGAUCCCAUUGAUGUACGAACAUCUGGAUUAGUUGCAUCAGUUGGAACGGGCAACUCAAUUUGAACGUUAGUUGCAGUGCUUCUCUCCUUGAACUGGCUUCGUGCUUUAACCAGAAUUUCCACGCGGCUCUUAGAAUGUCUUUCCACUUGGGCUUCUACCCACACAAGAGGCUUUACCUGUGUACUGAGUCUGUAGGUCAUAACUUCGAAAGCUCCAUCAGGAGGUAUGAAUGAUAUAGUACGAUCAUUCUCAAAUCGGGCCAAACGCACACACUGAUGAAACUUGAUAUCA